Molecule: non-coding RNA, 125 nt
Organism: Triticum aestivum (bread wheat)
Lineage: Eukaryota; Viridiplantae; Streptophyta; Magnoliopsida; Poales; Poaceae
Source: Rfam
AUUCUACUCCCUCCGUCCGGAAAUACUUGUCAUCAAAAUGGAUGAAAAUGGAUGUAUCUAGAACUAAAAUACAUCUAGAUACAUCCAUAUCAUUGACAAGUAUUUCUGGACAGAGGGAGUAUUUU